Molecule: ribosomal RNA, 1382 nt
Filed under: Parastagonospora nodorum
Lineage: Eukaryota; Fungi; Ascomycota; Dothideomycetes; Pleosporales; Phaeosphaeriaceae
Description: SSU rRNA
Rfam family: Eukaryotic small subunit ribosomal RNA
Source: RNAcentral
GCUCUUUAGAGCUUCUUAGUAAUUUAUAAUAACUUUACAGAUUGCAUAGCCUUGCGCCGGCAACAGUUUAUUUAAAUUUCUGCCCUAUUAACUUUCGAUAGUAAGGUAUUAGCUUACUAUAGUUUUAACAGGUAACGGGGAAUUAGGGUUUAAUUCUAGAGAGGGAGCCUAAGAAACAGCUACUACAUCUAAGGAAGGCAGCAGGCGCGCAAAUUACCUAAUCCUAACAUAGGGAGGUAGUAACAAUAAAUACUGAUACAGGGCUCUUUUAGGUCUUAUAAUUAGAAUAAGUAUAAUUUAAACCUCUUAACGAGGAAUAAUUAAAGGGCAAGUCUAGUGCUAGCAGCUGCAGUAAUUCUAGCUCUAAUAGCGUAUAUUAAAGUUAUUGCAGUUAAAAAGCUUAUAGUUAAACCUUAGGUCUAGCUAGCAGGUCCGCCUUACUGCGUGUACUUAUCUAGCUGGGCCUUCCUUCUAGAGAACCUCAUGCCCUUUACUAGGCGUAUUAGGGACUAGGACUUUUACUUUAAAAAAAUUAGAGUGUUUAAAGCAGGCCUUUGCUUAAAUACGUUAGCAUAGAAUAAUAGAAUAGAACGUGCAGUCCUAUUUUGUUAGUUUCUAGGACUGCUGUAAUAAUUAAUAGGGACAGUUAGAGGCAUUAGUAUUCAAUUGUUAGAGGUAAAAUUCUUGGAUUUAUUAAAGACUAACUACUGCGAAAGCAUUUGCUAAGGAUGUUUUUAUUAAUUAGUGAACGAAAGUUAGAGGAUUAAAGACGAUUAGAUACUAUUGUAGUCUUAACUAUAAACUAUGCUAACUAGAAAUUAGGCGAUGUUCUUUUUCUAACUCGCUCAGCACCUUAUAAGAAAUUAAAGUUUUUAAGUUCUAGGGGGAGUAUAGUCGCAAGGCUAAAACUUAAAGAAAUUGACGGAAGGGCACUACUAGGCGUAGAGCCUGCAGCUUAAUUUGACUUAAUAUAGAGAAACUUACUAGGUCUAGAUAAAAUAAAGAUUGACAGAUUAAGAGCUCUUUCUUAAUUUUUCAGGUAGUAGUGCAUAGCUAUUCUUAGUUAGUAGAGUGAUUUGUCUGCUUAAUUGCGAUAACGAAUAAGACCUUAACCUGCUAAAUAGCUAGGCUAGCUUUAGCUAGUUGCCAGCUUCUUAGAGGGACUAUUAGCUUAAGCUAAUAGAAGUUUAAGGCAAUAACAGGUCUAUGAUGCUCUUAGAUAUUCUAGGCUGCACGCGCGCUACACUGACAGAGCUAAUAAGUUCUUUACCUUAGCUAAAAGGUCUAGGUAAUCUUGUUAAACUCUGUCGUGCUAGAGAUAGAGCAUUGCAAUUAUUACUCUUUAACGAGGAAUACCUAGUAAGCGCGUGUUAUUAGCAUGC